Molecule: long non-coding RNA, 1306 nt
Organism: Rosa rugosa (rugosa rose)
Lineage: Eukaryota; Viridiplantae; Streptophyta; Magnoliopsida; Rosales; Rosaceae
Exons: 3
Source: RefSeq, a predicted model, not a curated record
GCUUAAUUAAGUCAGACUUUACAUGAUAAUAGUUUGUGUCAUCUUGGAUCCCUUUUUGAUGCAAUGAGAUUGUUUUCUACUUAUAUAUAGCUUCUUACUCUUAGUUCUUUCCUAUGUUUCGUUUUCUUUUUUGCUUGUUACCAUCAGUAAAAUAUCAAGUUGCUGAUCCUUAGCAUUUUGGGUUCUUGGUAAUUGUUAUGCCUACCUAUAUAUGAGAACUAUCCCGUAAAAGUUAAAAUUUGUGGCAUUUUCUCAAUAAUUUCUUGAUUAUCUUCUUUGAGAUUGAGAUUCUUAAUUGCCAAAUUCAUUUAGUGAUACUGAGCUCAGUUUCUAUUAUUAUUGUUUUGUAAUUUUGGAUGUUAGAGCUAUGUGGUUAAUUUGUGGUAUUAUUAAAUGAAACAAGUCUUGGAUAAUAGGAAUGUAUAUGUUAGCUUCAGUGAACUAGUACUUUCAGAUUACUUUAUGAUAAAUCCCAUGUUUUUGGAGACUCAUUUGGCCUGAGGAUCCUCUAAAUAUUCUUGGAUCUGUCACUUCCAUAUAUUAAUUGAAUAUAACCUAUGAUCUGCAGAUUAAGUAUCACUCUCCUGAAGAGGAAAUAGCCUUUGGUCCUGCUUGUUGGUUAUGGGACUAUUUAAGAAGAAGUGGAGCUUCUGGGUUUCUGCUACCCCUUUCUGGUGGAGCAGAUAGCUCGUCUGUGGCUGCCAUAGUUGGCUGCAUGUGUCAGCUUGUGGUAAAAGCUCCGAAUCGACAAAAUCACGGGCAAAGGUUCUAGCAGAUGAAAUUGGCGCAUGGCAUCUUGAUAUCAGUAUAGAUGGUGUUAUUUCUGCACUUCUGACGCUGUUUCAAGCAGUGACAGGAAAACGACCACGAUAUAAGAUAGCUGGAGGAUCUAAUGCUGAGAACUUAGGUUUGCAAAACAUUCAAGCACAAAUCUGAAUGGUGCUGGCUUUUAUGUUUGCAUCACUUCUACCUUGGGUUCAUAACAAACCUGGGUUUUAUCUUGUUCUGGGUAGUUCCAAUGUGGAUGAAGGAUCGGAAAGGGUAUACCCAACAACAACUUGACGAGGUCCGCAUUGAAGUAGCCGACUACUUACAGACUCUGCUGUAGGUUCUGACCAGUUUCUUGAUUUUGAGUUAGGCUAGCUUUUAAUUAACUUUUUUGUAGCAAUUAUGAACAAACAUGAAUACUAAUUGCUAGGCUAGCCUUGUAGUAGGUGAAUUGGGGUUUUAUUUUGCCCAUUUUGUAAACUAUUAAGGAUGAUGAUUUCAGAUAUAAUACUCCAAUAUUCAAAUCACUCUUGUCAAC